UACGGAGGGUGCGAGCGUUAAUCGGAAUUACUGGGCGUAAAGCGCACGUAGGCGGUUUAGUAAGUCAGUUGUGAAAGCCCAGGGCUUAACCUUGGAAUGGCAAUUGAUACUGUUAGACUUGAGUCGAAGAGAGGGAAGCGGAAUUUCCGGUGUAGCGGUGAAAUGCGUAGAUAUCGGAAAGAACACCGGUGGCGAAGGCGGCUUCCUGGCUUCAGACUGACGCUGAGGAGCGAAAGCGUGGGUAGCGAACAGG
RNAcentral lists this unclassified non-coding RNA (253 nucleotides) under uncultured Gammaproteobacteria bacterium. RNAcentral describes it as "contains 16S-23S intergenic spacer region". It matches the Rfam family "Bacterial small subunit ribosomal RNA", at positions 524 to 776 of the family's 1533-position model. The record is from RNAcentral. Lineage: Bacteria; Pseudomonadati; Pseudomonadota; Gammaproteobacteria.